Small nucleolar RNA from Pseudophryne corroboree (corroboree frog), 213 nucleotides. RefSeq annotates it as small nucleolar RNA U3. NCBI's taxonomy places the organism in Eukaryota, Metazoa, Chordata, Amphibia, Anura, Myobatrachidae. The record is from RefSeq and is a predicted model, not a curated record. The transcript has a single exon.
AAGAUUAUACUUUCAGGGAUUAUUUCUAUAGGCAAUGAUGGGAGAAAUGUGCGUUAAUGUAUCCAAACUCACAAAUCACUAUGAAGAUUUAAAGGGCUUUCUUCUCAGCAUGAAUAUAGUUAGCUACUCAGUUUUAUGCAGAUGUUGUUAGCUUUUGAUGACUGUGCUACUAUUUUAAAAAGAAGUGGUAGAGGAAUUAUCAUUCAGAGUGGC